AAUGCCUGGACAGAGAGGAACGUUCCUGAAGACUUCGGUGCACCAGGAGUAAAAAGGACAGAAUCUACCUCUUGAUUUCCAAGCACAUGAAUACAAAAGUGGAGACUGGGUCCGAUAAAAGCCAUUACUGAGAAGAAGUUGCAGCUGGUGUGGAAGGGACUGUUCCAAGUUUUGCUGACUACUGAAUCGGCUGUAAGGAUUAAGGAACAAAUUUGGGUAUGCUAUUCCAGAGUCAAGGGAUUGGUGGCUUUGCAUUAUGGAAGGACAGUUGCUACGGAACCUGCAAACCCUCUUAAAUUGACUUUUUGAUGACAAACCUUAGACGAUUGGGGACCAAUGGAUGAAAGAAGAGUUUUAUGAAGAGAUUUGUAUUUGGCUAGGAGUGGUAAUAAUUCUUGUUGUGUUUUUGAUUGUAUUGAGGAAAGAUAUUAUUGAUUGGUGUAAAUCUAUGUUUUGAUAUCCAGUGGAUGUAAGUUCUCCUUGAUUGAUUGAUGUUGGGGGAGCUAGUUCACUAGGAAUAAUGGGUUUUUUUUUGUGGUAAUGUUUGUUAUUCUACAGGUGUGGAUAGGAAUGGGGAUUUUGGCUGUGUUGCCUAGUUACCCUAUAACAUGGUAGCAGCUAUGUUUCCAUACUGAAUUCGAGCACCGUUAUUCUUUUAUAGAAACACCACUAACCCUAAUAGACACCACUGAGGAAGCUGAGAUAUGUAUUAAGUCAUCUUUUGAAGAUGGUGUGUGCCAAGUGCAAACGUACAUAUGAGAUAGUUCCUCAAUACAUUGGCCUUACAAAUAGAAUGGAAUUUUUAUAUAAGCAAUGCACUGAGCUAUUUGGUAAUUAUAGGAGUUUUAGAUUUUGGAGGAAGGGUUACAUUUUCUAUGUUUAAGGAUACAAGUUCCUUCCAAGUUAAUGUUUUUAUGUGGUAACAUGGCAUUGACCAAAUUACCUAUUGUAUGGAGAAGAGUUUCUAUACUGUUACAGGAUAUUCAUAGUUUACAGAAAUAAAAGAUAAUGAAGAGGAGAAUUGGGGAUUGUGAGAAAAAUAGGAAUUAUUCCUGUAAAAGCAUAACCUGAGUUACGCCAUUUUGAAAUCAUGUUAAGGUUUUGUUUUACCUUGUAUAACCUGAUUAUAUAAUUUAGCUGACAUUUAAGAACAUGAGAAAGGAAAUGUGUAAUUCCUGUUUUUGAGAAGAUGUUUGUCUUGCAGGAAAUACGUUCCUGGGUUAACUUGCCCUUAUUAAUUAAAGGAAGUACGCAAUUGAUGUUUUUGAGGGGUAUUUCUGUUGGGAAUUGGGGAAUUUCCAGGGUGGAAUUAUGUACUGCAUAUGUUAUAUAAGAUGUUAUGUAAGAUCGGGAACUGAUUCCCAAGGUACUUUAUUGACGUGUAUUCUGAAUGUCCUGAAGACUAUAAAAACUUGUGUAAAUUGUUUUAUUUCCGUCUUUCUCUACUUUAGAGAGAAAGGCCCUUUGCAAAGAAUAAACUUUGUUCCAGGA
This is a long non-coding RNA of Pantherophis guttatus, 1491 nucleotides long. RefSeq lists it as uncharacterized. Lineage: Eukaryota; Metazoa; Chordata; Lepidosauria; Squamata; Colubridae. The record is from RefSeq and is a predicted model, not a curated record.